GUAUGAUCAAUGGAAACAGGAUGCGCCGGAGCUCAAUUUCAAGUCUCAUAGCAAAGGAUGCUGAUUGUGAAGUUGUACUAUCAGCCAAGGCUCCACAGUUCGAUUCAACUAGAUUGCCAAGAACAUGGACCAAUGAGCUUCCACGACUCUUCAGCGGUGUCAAAUGAUUGACCUGGACAGACGACAGGCAGCCAAUGAAACCCUUGGAUCCUGCCCUAAGCACUUCCUCAUCCAAACCAGCAUGUCCUGCUGAUGUUGUACCUGUGACUUUACCUAAAGUCAGAGAUCGUAGUGUGUUCAUCUUCAUGUCAGAAGAAGGUUGUAUUUUUGGUUGAUGUCUUUGUCAAUCUGGUUUAAGAAAAAAGCAAACAUUUCCAUAUACACAUCAAGGUGGGCUGACUGUCUAUGCUGUAAGCAUAAUGCUUUGCUAUGUUGAAAUAGAUUCCGAUUGUCACACCCUGGCCAUAGAGAGGUUUUUAUUCUCUAUUUUGGUUAGGCCAGGGUGUGACUUGGGUGGGCAUUCUAUGUUCUGUUUUUCUUGUUUGGCCGGGUGUGGUUUCUCAGAGGCAGCUAGCUGUCUAUCGUUGUCUCUGAUUGAGAGCCAUACUUAGGUAGCCUUUCCCACCUGAGUUUUGUGGGUAGUUCUCUUUAGUGUUUGUAUCGCCUUUCAGAACUGUUUCGGUUAUUCCGUUUGUAUUUAUUUAGUGUUCAGUUAUUUUUAAUAAAUAUGAACACGUACCACGCUG
Oncorhynchus gorbuscha (pink salmon) is the source of this 746-nucleotide long non-coding RNA. RefSeq lists it as uncharacterized. NCBI's taxonomy places the organism in Eukaryota, Metazoa, Chordata, Actinopteri, Salmoniformes, Salmonidae. The record is from RefSeq and is a predicted model, not a curated record. The transcript has 2 exons.